Molecule: long non-coding RNA, 2259 nt
Organism: Protopterus annectens (West African lungfish)
Lineage: Eukaryota; Metazoa; Chordata; Ceratodontiformes; Protopteridae
Exons: 3
Source: RefSeq, a predicted model, not a curated record
UUCUUCACAAAACUGCUUGGUAGUGGCACUAAAUAUAUACUGAGCAAAGAAAGCAAGGAAAGUUUUUUUUAUUUGAUUAAAGCCGACCAUUUCAGUGCUGCUAUAUCAGAUUCUCAACAAACCAUGUUAAACCUUGUUAACACUUGACUGUCAUCUUGGAACACCAUUUUGACUCAUCUGAACAUAUGAUGAUUAGGCACACCUGCAUCAUAUCUGGUGGGUCUCCAACUCUAGAAAAGUACCAUCUUACACCGUUUCUGUUUAUGCUCUAAACCAGACAACUUCUGAAGACAUUAGACUCUGGCACAAGUCUGCAAAUCCUGCAAACUAUGAAUGGAUGGAAAAUUAAAGCAAAUGACAAGACUGUAAGGUUAUUCUGAACAGCACAAAUAUAUACAGAAGGUCAGUCAUGCACAAACAACAGAAGCUGAAAACUAUAGCAAGAUGGAGGGUGAACGAGAGAAGUAUUUGACGUGAGCCUUAGAAGGAGAUGGCUGGCAAAUGGGAAAAGGUUCAGUGAUAUGAUGUAUAACAUUAUUUGUAUUGCCCUAUGGGGAAGGAGACAAAGGAAGGGAGACAUAUUGUCACUGAAUAUACUGGUUGUUAUGAAAUGCCUGAUAUGCUGAAUUAAUAGAUGAAUGUAUAAUACAUUUUCUUAUAUGUGAAGUUGUGAAGUAUUGAUUUUUUUUUGUAUAGGGUAUUAGUGAACUAAAAAAAACACCAGCAAAAGAUUCUCUGUCAAGUGUGCAGUGCUGUGUUUGCAAGUAACAAAACUGUUACUAACUGUUGAACCAAAAAAAUCUCUGUAAUCAUUGUAAUCACUGUAUAACUGUUUUGUUCAUUUCCUCAAGAUGUAUAUAAACUUUUCUGCACUGAAAAAAGAAAGCAAGCAAUUUAGAAAGUGGUCUGAAAAAAUAACAAACUCUAUUCACUAUUCAACACUCCAGGUAGAUAUUUUAAUGUAAAGGGAGAUCCCAAAUUGUCUAUCACAAGAAGUAAAACAUAUUGGCCACUAUUUUCCACUUAAACAAAUGGACCAUUAUACAACCCACUUGAAAUCCAUCCAUCCAUAACAACUUUUCCCAUCUUUGCACAUGGGGUCAGGGUGUUUGUUCAACAAUGACAAUCAUCUUGAGCCAAGGUUCACACCACUGGGUUAUUAGCCCCACCGCAGACAACUCACAUCUGGCUUUGAGAAAUGAGCUGUUGUUCUGAAUCUCUGGUGACAAAAAAGCAAUACACACAUUUCUGUUGCUUUACUGCAUUUCCACUCCUGCACAGACAAACUAAAUAUCCUGUAUUAGCAGAUUAGCAAACUAGAGAUCCUAGAUCAUCAGUAACUGACACAAAAUGUUACCGAACUCAGCUACAAUCACAGUUCUUAUCUUACAUACAGUGAAAUAUACCAAAUGUAUGACUCCAUGUGUGAAUGUGAUAAUAAGCAACAUAAAACAGGUAAUCUCAGUAAAACUAAUACACAGCUUUUGGACAUUUUUAUCAUAUCCCAUAAAACAUACAGUUGAUUUUCUAGUAUAUAGCCAAGAUGUCGACAUUAAAUUAAUUGUGAUUAAUGGAAUAUGUUGCUGGACAGAUUUUAAGGAAGACAGCAUGACUUUUUUCCUUGGACAGACUCACCAAGCAAUAUCAUAUAAUUAAAGAAAACUGACUAAAAUUACAGCAAGUAUCACAACCUAAUAGAAAUACACCACGCUAUACCUAUAGGAUGUCCAACCAUAAUACAAAGUAUUAUUCUUAUAAUUAGUGCCAGAUGUGCAACAGGUAGCACACUUGCCUAUGGUGCUAAAAAAAACAGAAGACAGUGGGUUCCAUUCCCACUCCAGAUGAUGUAAUCACUGACACUUUAAUGCAUCAUUAGGGGAUAUUUCACUCCUGAAUGUGUCAUCCAUUGGAUGAGAUGUUACACCUAAGUUCAAUCUACUUGAGUUGGUGAUAACUCAGGAGAAUUUAAAUGAUCCCACAACACCAAAAAGAGUAGGAGUCCUUUAUUUAACACACUUAUUUACAACAAUCAUGCAAUAUUUACAAUAUUUACACUAUGUACAUUAUUCAUAAUGUCUAAGCACUCCACCUUUCUACUUAUACAUUCUAUUAGACCCUCACUCCAUUUUCCAUAACCAAAAUGUUAUAUUUUCCAAUAUUUUUGCCAAAUCUCAUCUUUCAUUAAACAUUAUUUCCUUUACCCUUUGGUUCUAUAGAACCCAUAGAACUGCAAACAUAGUAUCUGUUUCACAUACAUAC